RNAcentral lists this ribosomal RNA (254 nucleotides) under uncultured bacterium. Its description in RNAcentral is "partial 16S ribosomal RNA". It matches the Rfam family "Bacterial small subunit ribosomal RNA", at positions 524 to 776 of the family's 1533-position model. The record is from RNAcentral.
UACGUAGGGGGCGAGCGUUGUCCGGAUUCAUUGGGCGUAAAGAGCUCGUAGGCGGCUCGGUAAGUCGGGUGUGAAAUCUCCAGGCUCAACCUGGAGCGGCCACUCGAUACUGCCGUGGCUAGAGUCCGGUAGGGGACCGUGGAAUUCCUGGUGUAGCGGUGAAAUGCGCAGAUAUCAGGAGGAACACCGGUAGCGAAGGCGGCGGUCUGGGCCGGUACUGACGCUGAGGAGCGAAAGCGUGGGGAGCAAACAGG